CGUCACAAUUGUUCUGCCAUUUGCAUACAACGUUUACCAGCACUAACCAACAUGGCGUCCGGUGUUGUGCUGUGUCGUGUGCUUUUGUAACUAAAACUCCGUUUUGACAUCACUUUCAUCAUAAUCUGAAUAAAAUAAUAAUAAUAAUAAAAACCAUCGAAAACGAAUCAAAAAGCAAAUAAUAAUAAAUCAUCUAAUAAAAACAACAACAACAACAAAAUACCAAGUUACAUACCAAUAAAGCAAACAAACAACAACAACAACUAAAGCAACAAAGCUCAAAAAGUCUAAGAGGCGUUUAAUAACCGGAGAGGCAUCUGCCAUAAACUUUUAGUUUUGAAAAUUUCCUUUGUUUUCGUUUGCAAAUUCGCUUUAAAACUCUACAACUGCAUGCCGAAAAAGCUCACAUGAAAAGUCUACAAAAAUUAGCAAAAAGACUGUAAAAAAGCAAAUAAAAAAAAUACACGAAAAGAAAAAAUUUAAAAGGGGAACGUCGCCGUCUGCGGCGAACGUCUGUUAGCGGGUGUGAGCGAGAGAGAGAGAGAGAGAGAGAGAAAGAAAGAGACGACAAAGCGACUGCGCAUCUGUGCAAAAAGAAAAAAAUAACAAAACAAGCCAAGCUUAAAACGAAGACUUUCAAAACCAACAACAAAAAACCAAACAAAAUUCAAACGCUGUGAAAUUAACUCGUCAAUACUCAAAGCAACAACAACAUAAACGGAAAAACAGAAAAAAGCAACAAAGAGAAAUCAACUGAAGUAAAACGGAGUUGAGGUCUAAAUAAAAUAAAUAUACACACACACGCACUAAACAUAUUUAAAAAUAAUUAUAAUUAUCAGAACUGCCUAACAUUAGCAGCUACAAACGCAACGCUGAGGCGUUGACGUUGACGUCGAACUCGAAUAACUGAAAAGAAAAUUUAACACCAACAACAACAACCGUUAAACAAUCCCAAAAUUCCUCAUUUAUUUUUCCUGAAAGCUUUAAUUUAAUUACGAAUUUUUGUUAAGUCAAAAGUGAAUUCAAUUUGCUAAAAAAAAAUAUAAAAAUUUAUUUAAAUUUAAGACAACAAAAACGCCGCCUCUACUACAACAACAACAAACACCAACAUCAAAAACAACAACAGGAACAAAGCAAAGCGAAGCGAGAGCAACACAAACAGCAAAAGCAACACCAACAACAACAACUACCAACAAACAACUGAAUUAAAGUUUUAAAGUACAAAAUAACCGGGAGAAAAGAGAGAACAACAAAAACAACAACAAAACUAAUUUAAACAAAACUAAAACAUUUUAUUUAAACGCAACAUCAAUUUAAAUUAUUUAAUAAAAAAAUAAACAAAAUAUAGUCUAUAAGCAGAAACAAAAACAAACGAAAACUUUGUCGCCUGUCGUGCGGCGGCCGUGUGAAAAAGUGCAAGAGAGAGACAGAGUGAAUAGUGGAGAGAGCGCACAUUAAGCAACGGUGCGAUCGAGAGAGGAGGAAGAGAGAGAGACACCGUUAGAAAGUUCCGCCUUGUCUAAGAACAGAAUAGAAUAAACUAUAAAGCAACAAUUGUGCCGCAAAGAAAAGAAAAAACAAAAGCAACAAAAAAAAAAAAAAAAA
This 1605-nucleotide small RNA is filed under the name Drosophila mojavensis. Its description in RNAcentral is "GI26179". Lineage: Eukaryota; Metazoa; Arthropoda; Insecta; Diptera; Drosophilidae. The record is from RNAcentral.